Molecule: ribosomal RNA, 375 nt
Filed under: uncultured bacterium
Lineage: Bacteria
Description: bacterial SSU rRNA
Rfam family: Bacterial small subunit ribosomal RNA
Source: RNAcentral
AUACGUAGGUGGCAAGCGUUGUCCGGAAUUAUUGGGCGUAAAGCGCGCGCAGGCGGACUGAUCAGUCUGGUCUAAAAGAGCGGGGCUCAGCCCCGUUAGGGGCCGGAAACUGUCAGUCUUGAGUGCCGGAGAGGAAAGUGGAAUUCCCAGUGUAGCGGUGAAAUGCGUAGAGAUUGGGAGGAACACCAGUGGCGAAGGCGACUUUCUGGACGGUGUCUGACGCUGAGGCGCGAAAGCCAGGGGAGCGAACGGGAUUAGAUACCCCGGUAGUCCUGGCCGUAAACGAUGGGUACUAGGUGUAGAGGGUAUCGACCCCUUCUGUGCCGGAGUUAACGCAAUAAGUACCCCGCCUGGGGAGUACGGCCGCAAGGUUGA